AGGAUGAACGCUGGCGGAGUGCCUAACACAUGCAAGUCGAGCGGCAGCGGGAGUAGUUUACUACUUGCCGGCGAGCGGCGGACGGCUGAGUAACGCGUGGGAACGUGCCCCAAAGUGAGGAAUAAGCAUCGGAAACGGUGUCUAAUGCCGCAUAUGAUCUUCGGAUUAAAGGAUUUAUCCGCUUUGGGAGCGGCCCGCGUUAGAUUAGGUAGUUGGUGAGGUAAAGGCUCACCAAGCCGACGAUCUAUAGCUGGUCUGAGAGGAUGACCAGCCAGACUGGACUGAGACACGGUCAGACUCCGUACGGGAGCAGCAGUGAGGAAUCUUCACAAGUGGAACGAAGUCUAGGAUGGAGCAACGUUCCGCGUGCGAGGAUGGAAGGUCCGUUACGGUACUAAACGUGU
RNAcentral lists this ribosomal RNA (404 nucleotides) under uncultured soil bacterium. RNAcentral's name for it is "bacterial SSU rRNA". It matches the Rfam family "Bacterial small subunit ribosomal RNA", at positions 26 to 442 of the family's 1533-position model. The record is from RNAcentral.